This is a long non-coding RNA of Salvelinus sp. IW2-2015, 2218 nucleotides long. RefSeq lists it as uncharacterized. NCBI's taxonomy places the organism in Eukaryota, Metazoa, Chordata, Actinopteri, Salmoniformes, Salmonidae. The record is from RefSeq and is a predicted model, not a curated record.
GCUUUGUGAGGUCCUUGACUAYAGGAAGCCAUGAGCURUGGGAGGAGCAGGUUCCCACACCCAGAAGAAGAGACGGAGGARAGGCUAACACAAACAGUCCGCCUUUCAGGAAGGAAAAGGCUCCCUUUAGGCCUUUAUCAGAUCUGCGAGCGCCUCAGUCCGCCAGUCGCCRGCCAGCUGCUGUCCCCCCGAGAGGUACGGCURCACCCUGGUCCAAUUUAAUGGUCCCUUUACUCUGAAAUAAUCAGUCAUCAUAAUGCACUACUAAUAUAUCAGGCUAGAUGCUAGGUCACUCCCUUAUUUGGGUCUGAGGACACAGUGCAUACAGAGGUAAAGUGUGGAACUAGUCUGUGAGUUUUGGGACAAAUUUCAAGAAUGCAGGCUAAUGGCAACACUAUCAGAUAGGGCUAGACCGGCAGUGCAAUAUGUGAUGACCUGUGCAUGGUAGGCCUACACCCCCUCACACAUGUUGAGGAAGGUCUGGCCAACAUGAUACAGCAAUGUGGUAACAAUUACUAUAGAAUGAACAAAAUAACAGAUCUGUGGGUAGAGUGUGUGUAAGCUUGGUUUACCACACCACACAUUGAUUCCUUCCCGUUCAGGUCUAAUUUCCUGAUCAAACAAGUUAUUCUAUUCAUAAAAACAAUUCUGAAGGAAAUAAACACAACACGAAACAAAUCCUCAACCCCCUGGUUCCUCAGUCUAGAUCCCCUCUACUCUCUGUWRCCAUGGACCAGUAUGUCUCUCCUGUGGUAUUCGUACACAUUGCYGCCGAACAGGAGCUGCCCUCAGCUGUCUUUUGAUUGCAUAACKCUGCCUCUUUGCUUACCUCAUGGAACAUCUCUGGAGUAACUCAUGGAGACUGAAGACACAAAGAACAGGGACACGUUCACAACAUCUGCUGGCUUCAGCACCUCAUGACUGUGUAUGCCGCUUGGGCAACUCCGAACAUCCACAAACAGAAAGGCUCCAUCCAGACAGAGACGACAGAUGGGAAGGCCCAAGGCCCUCCGGCAGGUUUCUCUACAUAUCCUUUCUCCCCAGCUCUCUCAGGGCGUCUGUCUGCUUCCAGUCCCGUGGAGACGGCCGGACACCCUGGCACCAGGUCUGAAGCUGGGAAAGAUCGCCGGCCCAGAUGUAAACAGGAGAGAGACCCCACCCAUGGGCAUGGGACAGACAGACAAACCUGACAUAUCCUCUCCUGGAAUCACUUCCAAAGAACUCAACAAAAACAUCCCUCAGCUUUUCCUUCAACCCAAUGUCAARGMGCUAUUUUUUGUUUAGUAAUCUUGAAAAUMAAGCUAUAUGGAUUGCAAUGCUGCAAAUGACCUUACCAAUAUUAAUCCAUACCCACAAUGUCAUCUCAUUGCCAAAAUGUACCAUUUCCCAGAAGGAWAUUCUGGCCUCCAAAAAUAAGGUUGWUGUUUGCUAAAGAAAUGCAGGUUGAAAAUGUUCUGCAUAUCAAMCCACAAACAGACAGGCUGYCUGUAUUAKUGCUGAGGCCGCCACACAAGGGCGUAGCCUUUUCCAGAUGCUCAUUUUGGGAAUUUGACCAGAUUAACAAGUGAUGACGAACUGACUGACGUGCAGAGGACUGUCAGAGGACAUGGUUGCUCAAUGAGGACUUUUUACUCAAAGACAGAGAAGGCAUUAGUCUUCUUCAUAAGCUUUCAUGAAAUAUUGUGCUGAUUGUCCUUCAGAAGCCAAAAUAACCCUCUUGUUUUAAAUCAAUGUCCAAAUGGACAGUUAGAUCACGACAUUUUGGUGUGGCUAUGAAAAAUCUUUGUAACCUUUGACAUUGGUCACAAGAACAUUAAAAACGUAUUAAAGGCAUGAAAAUCCAGUUCUGCUAUGAAGUAACAGUGAAUCCUAACUAAGCCUCUGAUGGUAUUUGGAAACAUGAAACCUCUGUUUAAAAGAAAUUCUUACUUUGUUGAAUUAAAACUGCUCUGUCCUUUGUUCUAAAAACCCAUGUCAUCUGUUUGGGGCUUGUCCAUUGUAGACAAUCAUCCUGAUAAAUGACCAGUUGAUCCAGAGGAACAUGAACUCUAAAAACAGAGCUGUUAGAAGUUCAUCAAUUCACAUAGGAUCUAUCUGGUUUUAUCUUUGUUCAAGAAUACAGUCUAAAACUCAUGUAUGCACUCAUAAAAAUGCACCAAUCAAAUCUCAUCUGUUUGUAUUGAAGUGCCUAAUAAACAAAUAUUGAUUACCAACGACA